This 589-nucleotide ribosomal RNA is filed under the name Halicephalobus sp. NKTW2. RNAcentral's name for it is "SSU rRNA". It matches the Rfam family "Eukaryotic small subunit ribosomal RNA", at positions 1037 to 1663 of the family's 1831-position model. Lineage: Eukaryota; Metazoa; Nematoda; Chromadorea; Rhabditida; Panagrolaimidae. The record is from RNAcentral.
CUGACCGUAAACUAUGCCAUCUAACGAGUCGGUAUUGGUUAUUUAUUGCCAUUUUGACGAGUUACCCGGAAACGAAAGUCUUUCGGUUCCGGGGGGAGUAUGGUUGCAAAACUGAAACUUAAAGGGAUUGACGGAAAGUCACCACCAGAAAUGGAGCCUGCGGCUUAAUUUGACUCAACACGGGAAAACUCACCCGGUCUAGACACUAAAAUGAAUGACAGACUGAUAUAUCUCUCAAGAUAUAGUGCAAAGUGGUGCAUGGCCGUUCUUAGUUCGUGGAGUAAUCUGUCUGGUUAAUUUCGAUAACGAACGAGACUAGAACGUUGUUAUUUGCGGAUGGUAUASUAUAGUAUCAUACAAUCAUAGACGGAUAUGCAAAUUAAAUUGCCUGAAAACUGGCAAUAACAGGUCUGUUAUGCCCUUAGUUGUCCGGGGCCGCACGCGCGCUACAAUGGAAAUUGCAGUGCGUAUAUACUAUAUCGAAAGAUAUGGUUAAACGUGUCAAAUUAUUCCGCAUUCGGGAUCGGAGACUGUAAUUGUUUUCGUGAACGAGGAACUUCAAGUAAGUGUGUGUCAUUAGCGCACGCUG